Meleagris gallopavo (turkey) is the source of this 1937-nucleotide non-coding RNA. The record is from RefSeq and is a predicted model, not a curated record. NCBI's taxonomy places the organism in Eukaryota, Metazoa, Chordata, Aves, Galliformes, Phasianidae.
AUCUGCUUCACUGGAGUCUAGUUUGUGAGCCCAGGAUAGGCACAGGGGGAUAGCCUGCUAGUGUGCAUCAAAGAUUUCCUUCCUGAGGAGUGUACAGCCUUCCUGGACCCCUUCACCCCUCAGGACUGACUCUGAGGGGACCGCCCCAGAAAAUAUGCAUUCACUAGGAGAACAGGUCUUAGAGGCUGAAAAAAGUAUAAUAAGCACUCUCCAUGUCUUUGAAAAGAAGAUCCAAACCAAUGGAUUAAUGAAAUAAGGCAAUACCUGCAUCUUGAGAAAUUGCUAAAAUCCUUGGGCAUCAGCAAAUGUGUGCUCUCCUCCAGAACAGUUGUGAAGUACUGUCUAGUAGUUAGUGGGGUCACUGAACUACUGAAGUCAAUAUUACUUGCAGGCAUUCAUAAAUGUUCAGCUGCAGCCACCAGCUGUAUAAAUCUGUGCCACAGAGAAACACGGUUAAUUAUUCUGUGCAAAUGUCCACAUGAACACAUCUAUUUUAAUUCUGAUACCUGAAUAAAGUCAUUACUUAGCACAGGAACUUCUUUAUGACACCACAUUGUACAAUACAGCAAUAAAAAAGAUUGCUGUGAUUUGCUUCUUGGAAAGUCCCUAUUGAUCCUGCAGUAUCUUUAUGUCUUUUAUUUUUGUCUCUAGUGCUGAGGGAGAUGAAACAUCUUCAAGAAAGAAAGAUUUUAUUGUUUAUCCCUUUUCCUCGAGGUUGAUGACACCCCUCCACACACACUAAAAUUUUUAUGACAGAAGUGCGAGGAUUUCAUGACUUCCCUACAAGAACUGUAGAACCUGAAAAUAAAUGAGAUUCAUCUGUAACAAAAUCUGUAAUUAUUGGUUAGAAUUAAGCCAACAAUCCUUAUAAAGAUAAUGCAUGACUUGAUCACCUAAUGCCUGAUAAAUAUUGCAUUAAACACAUGUUUGGGGGAUUCUGCUAACAUUCUUAGAUGGAUAUUUGAUGUCUACAUAAGAACUGUUAUGUGGGCAUAUAUCAGGCUUCUUGUUUUCAAGCAGCUGCUAGAAAGCUAAUGUAUUUAAGUUCUUUGCGCUUUCGACAUGUAGUGCAGUUUCUCUAUGGGAAAAUGGUAAAAAUGUUUGCAGUUAUAAGUAGUUCAAAAAUGUUUCUUCAUACAUAUUAAUGCUUGUUUUCCUAAAUUUCCUUUCUUUUUUUUUCUUUUGUCGUUGAUACUCUGAUUAUCUAAAAGUAGGUAUUACUUAAACCAAAAUCCCUGAAUGGAUCUAUGUCUUGAACCAUGGUCAGUGCCAUUUAGUUUACACUUUUGGUAGCUAACCCUCCCCUCCACUGUGUACAAAGGUAGUAGACUUUGUUUAAGAUUAUCUUUCAUAUAACUGAUAGAUCAAUAACUCAGGUCUAAGUGUAUUUCACAGCUUAUUUGUCCCAAGCCCACGAUUCCAGUUUGAGCACUCUGCAGUAAGCAAAUGCCAAGCAAAGCCAUACAAACAAUGUACAUUGGUCUAUAAGUUUGUUAUUUUCAGAUCACCUUUUAUAUUCAGAUGGGAAAAUUCUUGACUUUGUCUACAUUAUGAAAUUAUUCUCUCCAUCUAUUGUGGGGAAAGAUGAACAGGAAGAAACCUGCUGAGAAUUAAUUCAGUAAAUUUCAGUUGUUAUUGUGCGGUAAAUACUUUCCACAUAAGAAAGAAAUGGUGGUUAGGUUUUGACUAUCUUUAUUUGAUUCAGACUGAAAUGAGCCCCUGCUGAAAUAUUUGUGAAAGGACUACCAUUAAGAUACUUUAUGUAGAUCCAUUUAUAUAAAAUCCACAACAUAUGAGACAGAAUUAGAUUGAGAAGACAAACCUCAUGAAUCUCCUGAGAAAAAGAAACAGAAAAAAACUUUUCAUGCUACAUUUGUUUUAUUAGCUUCUGUUUAAUUCUGUAGUUAACUUGACCCCUCAUUCUAAAACAAAGCUAA